Gossypium raimondii (Peruvian cotton) is the source of this 87-nucleotide non-coding RNA. The record is from Rfam. NCBI's taxonomy places the organism in Eukaryota, Viridiplantae, Streptophyta, Magnoliopsida, Malvales, Malvaceae.
CCUAGGGGCGCGUUUUGCUUGCGUGGACACAAAGCGCGCUUACGAGGAUGCGCAUUGCUGCCACAUAGGCAAAGUGCACCCCCGGGG